CUACAGGCUUAACACAUGCAAGUCGAGGGGCAGCAUUUCAGUUUGCUUGCAAACUGGAGAUGGCGACCGGCGCACGGGUGAGUAACACGUAUCCAACCUGCCGAUAACUCGGGGAUAGCCUUUCGAAAGAAAGAUUAAUACCCGAUGGUAUAAUCAGACCGCAUGGUUUGAUUAUUAAAGAAUUUCGGUUAUCGAUGGGGAUGCGUUCCAUUAGGCAGUUGGUGAGGUAACGGCUCACCAAACCUUCGAUGGAUAGGGGUUCUGAGAGGAAGGUCCCCCACAUUGGAACUGAGACACGGUCCAAACUCCUACGGGAGGCAGCAGUGAGGAAUAUUGGUCAAUGGGCGCAGGCCUGAACCAGCCAAGUAGCGUGAAGGAUGACUGCCCUAUGGGUUGUAAACUUCUUUUAUAUGGGAAUAAAGUUUUCCACGUGUGGAAUUUUGUAUGUACCAUAUGAAUAAGGAUCGGCUAACUCCGUGCCAGCAGCCGCGGUAAUACGGAGGAUCCGAGCGUUAUCCGGAUUUAUUGGGUUUAAAGGGAGCGUAGGUGGACAGUUAAGUCAGUUGUGAAAGUUUGCGGCUCAACCGUAAAAUUGCAGUUGAUACUGGCUGUCUUGAGUACAGUAGAGGUGGGCGGAAUUCGUGGUGUAGCGGUGAAAUGCUUAGAUAUCACGAAGAACUCCGAUUGCGAAGGCAGCUCACUGGACUGCAACUGACACUGAUGCUCGAAAGUGUGGGUAUCAAACAGGAUUAGAUACCCUGGUAGUCCACACAGUAAACGAUGAAUACUCGCUGUUUGCGAUAUACAGUAAGCGGCCAAGCGAAAGCAUUAAGUAUUCCACCUGGGGAGUACGCCGGCAACGGUGAAACUCAAAGGAAUUGACGGGGGCCCGCACAAGCGGAGGAACAUGUGGUUUAAUUCGAUGAUACGCGAGGAACCUUACCCGGGCUUAAAUUGCAUUUGAAUAUAUUGGAAACAGUAUAGUCGUAAGACAAAUGUGAAGGUGCUGCAUGGUUGUCGUCAGCUCGUGCCGUGAGGUGUCGGCUUAAGUGCCAUAACGAGCGCAACCCUUAUCUUUAGUUACUAACAGGUCAUGCUGAGGACUCUAGAGAGACUGCCGUCGUAAGAUGUGAGGAAGGUGGGGAUGACGUCAAAUCAGCACGGCCCUUACGUCCGGGGCUACACACGUGUUACAAUGGGGGGUACAGAAGGCAGCUACCUGGUGACGGGAUGCUAAUCCCAAAAGCCUCUCUCAGUUCGGAUCGAAGUCUGCAACCCGACUUCGUGAAGCUGGAUUCGCUAGUAAUCGCGCAUCAGCCAUGGCGCGGUGAAUACGUUCCCGGGCCUUGUACACACCGCCCGUCAAGCCAUGAAAGCUGGGGGUACCUGAAGUACGUAACCGCAAGGAGCGUCCUAGGGUAAAACUGGUAAUUGGGGCUAAGUCAUAACA
Molecule: ribosomal RNA, 1450 nt
Filed under: uncultured organism
Description: SSU rRNA
Rfam family: Bacterial small subunit ribosomal RNA
Source: RNAcentral